Molecule: long non-coding RNA, 1789 nt
Organism: Acinonyx jubatus (cheetah)
Lineage: Eukaryota; Metazoa; Chordata; Mammalia; Carnivora; Felidae
Exons: 3
Source: RefSeq, a predicted model, not a curated record
AGGUUCCAGGAGAGCCAUAUGAUGAAAAGAGUUUUUAUCCGCUAAAACUGCAGGGAGCAGUGCACCAUGGAUCCGAAAGAGAUUUUAAGAGUUCUGUUUGUGCUGGUUUUCCUUCAGUGCCCUCUAGGGAAAACUCUCUGGGAAGAAAAUUGGCACUUGAGCCUGACAGGAUAGUGGGAAGAUCUUUGUUCAACUUCAUAGACUGUGUUGAACUAUUUUGGGGCUUUAAGGAAAUCCAGCUGGAAGGAAGCAAGCCAGGAUCCCCUGUCAGGAAAUGCAGCUGUUUCUACACCAUAGCAGCACUGAGUAUCUGCAACGGAGACCGUCUGGACUGCAAAGCCCUGAAUAUCUACUUUGCAGAAAAGGUUUGUUGAUGCCUAAUUGCCCACACCAGUUUGCCUCCAGAGGACGAGAGAGAAAGCGUGGUAGAUGGUGGAUCGGAGGGGGCGAAUGGAAGCUCUCUAGCGCCUUGGGAAUGAGCGUGGGCCUGUUGCAGUAAAAGAAAGUCGGCCAGCCCCCCUCUCGGCCACCUCGGCUGCAAAGACACAUGAAGCCUUCCUCCUCUGGGUCAUCAGUUCACACCCGCCAAGCCCGGGUCUGGCUCCCAGAGCCUGGGUUGGAGACAGUGACAGCUCUGCCCUCACCUGGGCCCCGCCAGCCUGCUGCGCUGGGGAGAAAAGUCAACACAACCGCUCCUGGGCCAGCUGCUUGGGCCGGUGGUGAAAAAUGUUGAAUAAUCAAAUUGCCCAUUUCUGCUCAAUUGCUCUAAUUUAUUAUCCCGGGCAUUCGGCAUGCAAAUGAAAACUACCCAUCAUCCCAGUCCAUGUCACUCUACUUUAUGAUCUUAUUAAAACCUCCGCGUUUCUUAGCCUGAUGACAACGAGUAGAGUUGGGGACAGCUGUCCUCAUGCCUCCAGUGUGGUUCAUACACCCGCCCUGUCAUCGCUAACGGCUGAAUGAUUUAGGCCAAAUGAGCCGCCUUGGAGUGAUAUUUUUAUACCCGUGACAGGAUUAUAUAACUUCGAGAAAGGCCAUUAACGAAUACAAAGGAAUAAGCAGGAGGGGGAAGCAGGUGACAAAUGGGCAAGUAAAUCUUUGGAUUUGACUCUUCGUAAUAAAAUGCCCUUCACAUUGAGAUUUAAUGAGCUGGUUAUCUCACCAAAAGGGAAGGGGGGAUCUGUAGCCAGAGCUUCGCAGCUUUCCUCAAGAUGGACCCAAUUACAAAGGGGCGACGCCGCAGACGACAGAUGCCCGGCGCUCGCUGGUGCAUGGUGACAUUGUAGCCCGAAAGCCGCCCCGUGGGAACAAUUAGUGGCCCUCAGAUCUCCUGACUGGGACCGUGAAGAGAACCCAGGAGUUCGUGUGCAUGACCCAAAUACGACACAGAGUUAAUGAACUGUUAGCUAUUUAGGCUUUUAGCAGUUUGUCAGUUCUUUGUAGCCACUUCAUUGAGAAUGGAAGUAGCAGUGUUUUGUUAGCACCAUAUGGUGGGAACUAUUUGACAGAGCGGUGGCCUAAAGCCAUAUCGCUGAGGGGCCAGAGGGGCUGGGAAGAGCCAAACCAAGAUUCUCCAUCGCAAUAUUUCAGUUUGGUAUUAACUAUGAAAACAUAGCACCUGAAAGCUUCCAGAAGAAAGGUAUCACUACCAUUUUCCACUCAAGAAAUACAUGCAUUUGGUUGCCUCUUGGAUGUGGUUUAUUCUUAAGAGAAACAUAAUACACUUGAUAGUUAUGCACACGUCUUAUCACUUCUCAGAGUUGAGUUUUUUAGUUGUAAAGCAAACAUUAGU